Triplophysa dalaica is the source of this 504-nucleotide long non-coding RNA. RefSeq lists it as uncharacterized. The transcript has 3 exons. The record is from RefSeq and is a predicted model, not a curated record. Lineage: Eukaryota; Metazoa; Chordata; Actinopteri; Cypriniformes; Nemacheilidae.
GAAAUGGCGGGAACUCAAACUCCAACAAGCCGAUUAGAGAAGCCAUUAUGACGUUAAUUUCAAUUGUCUUCGUAAUGGAAGAAAUGGCGCCUCAGUGAGAGCUCUCUCAUCGCGUAGCAACUGAUACGGAGGGAAUAAACAGACAAACGUAUUCAUUGAGGAAGGCGAGGGAGGCGAGGUAGGAGACGAGACUGAAGAGUUCAGCCACCACCAUGAGCCAAUGCCAGGUGCGAACCGUGAGCGCCACCAUGAGCAGCUCGGUGAGGAUGAGAGCAGUGAAGGAGAUCGCCACAACAUGCACAAACUCCUGAUCAAACAACACCAGGGCACCGUACAUCAGGAUGCCCCCUGGUGGCCAAACAGAAGAAGUGACGCAAUGUGAACAGGAUCUAGACGUCAAUGGAGAAAAUGCACCUGAUGGGGAUGAUGUACGAGAACAGAACCACGAAACGGAAGAGGUUACGAAACCAAGGGCCUAGAAAUCCCUGUAGAGCGACCAUAACA